Molecule: unclassified non-coding RNA, 244 nt
Filed under: rhizosphere metagenome
Description: partial ribosomal RNA internal transcribed spacer region
Source: RNAcentral
GUAGGUGAACCUGCGGAAGGAUCAUUACCGAGUUCACGGGGCUUCGGCCCCCACACUCCCACCCUUUGUGUACCUAAACCUUUGUUGCUUUGGCGGGCCUGCGCGCCCUCGAAAAGCGCGCUGCCGGCUUCGGCUGGCCCGCGCCCGCCAGAGGCCCCUCAAACCCCUGUUUUUACCGGUGCCGUCUGAGUGUGAUAACACGAAAUAAGAUUUAAAACUUUCAACAACGGAUCUCUUGGUUCUG